CGUACAAGGUUUCCGUAGGUGAACCUGCGGAAGGAUCAUUAAAGAGUAAGGGUGCUCAGCGCCCGACCUCCAACCCUUUGUUGUUAAAACUACCUUGUUGCUUUGGCGGGACCGCUCGGUCUCGAGCCGCUGGGGAUUCGUCCCAGGCGAGCGCCCGCCAGAGUUAAACCAAACUCUUGUUAUUUAACCGGUCGUCUGAGUUAAAAUUUUGAAUAAAUCAAAACUUUCAACAACGGAUCUCUUGGUUCUCGCAUCGAUGAAGAACGCAGCGAAAUGCGAUAAGUAAUGUGAAUUGCAGAAUUCAGUGAAUCAUCGAAUCUUUGAACGCACAUUGCGCCCCUUGGUAUUCCGAGGGGCAUGCCUGUUCGAGCGUCAUUACACCACUCAAGCUAUGCUUGGUAUUGGGCGUCGUCCUUAGUUGGGCGCGCCUUAAAGACCUCGGCGAGGCCACUCCGGCUUUAGGCGUAGUAGAAUUUAUUCGAACGUCUGUCAAAGGAGAGGAACUCUGCCGACUGAAACCUUUAUUUUUCUAGGUUGACCUCGGAUCAGGUAGGGAUACCCGCUGAACUUAAGCA
Molecule: ribosomal RNA, 575 nt
Filed under: uncultured fungus
Lineage: Eukaryota; Fungi
Description: eukaryotic LSU rRNA
Rfam family: 5.8S ribosomal RNA (bases 222-375)
Source: RNAcentral